Molecule: ribosomal RNA, 440 nt
Filed under: uncultured bacterium
Lineage: Bacteria
Description: partial 16S ribosomal RNA
Rfam family: Bacterial small subunit ribosomal RNA
Source: RNAcentral
CCUACGGGUGGCAGCAGUAGGGAAUCUUGCGCAAUGGGGGAAACCCUGACGCAGCAACACCGCGUGAAUGUUAAGCCCUUCGGGGUGUAAAGCUCUGUCAAUAGGGACGAAUUUUGACUGUACCUAUUAAGUAAGCACCGGCUAACUCCGUGCCAGCAGCCGCGGUCAUACGGGGGGUGCAAGCGUUGUCCGGAAUCAUUGGGCGUAAAGCGUUCGAUGGCGGAAUAUAAAGUGUGAUGUUAAAGCCCGGGGCUAAACACCGGCACGGCAUUGGAUACUGGCAAACUAGAAUGUGGUAGAGGUAAAGGGAAGUCCUGGUGUAGGGGUGAAAUGCGUAGAUAUCAGGAGGAACAUCAGUGGCGAAAGCGCUUUACUGGAACAGUAUUGACGCUGAGGAACGAAAGCCAGGGGAGCAAAUGGGAUUAGAUACCCUAGUAGUC